GACGAACGCUGGCGGCGUGCUUAAUACAUGCAAGUCAACUUGACUUUAGAUAGCAAUAUCGAAAAGUAGGGUGGCGCACGGGUGCGUAACGCGUAGGUAAUCUGCCUGAGGUCUGACAUAACCCGUCGAAAGGCGGGCUAACAUCAGAUGAUAUAUAAUCACGACAUCGUGGAAAUAUCAAAUCUUCGGAGCCUUGGGAUGAGCCUGCGUCUGAUUAGGUAGUUGGCGGAGUAAUAGCCCACAAGCCUACGAUCAGUAGCUGGUCUGAGAGGAUGAUCAGCCACACUGGAACUGAGACACGGUCCAGACUCCUACGGGAGCAGCAGUAAGGAAUAUUGCUCAAUGGGGGAAACCCUGAAGCAGCAACGCCGCGUGAAGGAUGAAAUACUUU
Molecule: ribosomal RNA, 391 nt
Filed under: uncultured bacterium
Lineage: Bacteria
Description: bacterial SSU rRNA
Rfam family: Bacterial small subunit ribosomal RNA
Source: RNAcentral